RNAcentral lists this ribosomal RNA (338 nucleotides) under Pheidole pilifera 'pacifica group'. RNAcentral's name for it is "partial 12S ribosomal RNA". The record is from RNAcentral. Lineage: Eukaryota; Metazoa; Arthropoda; Insecta; Hymenoptera; Formicidae.
UUAUAAAUAAAAAUUGUUAAUAAGAAAUUAAAUGGAAUCAUUAAAUUUAAAGAAUUUGGCGGUAUUUUAAAUAAUUAGAGGAAUUUGUUAAUUAAAUGAUAACCCACGAGUGGAGGGUCCUAAUAGAGUUUUAUAUAUUGUUGUAUAAAAAUUAUUUUAUAAGAAAAAUAAUUAAAAAAUUUAAUUUAAUUUGAAUUCAAAUCAAAAUGUAGAGUUAUUAGGGUUGGAUGAAUUACAAUUUAAUUUAGUAACGGAAUUAUUUUUUUAAAAGAAUAAUGAAGUAGGAUUUAAUAGUAAAUUUGAAAAAAUUUUUAGAUUGAAAAAUAAAUUAAAAUAUG